CCUACGGGCGGCUGCAGUGAGGAAUAUUGGUCAAUGGACGAGAGUCUGAACCAGCCAAGUAGCGUGAAGGAUGACUGCCCUAUGGGUUGUAAACUUCUUUUAUAAAGGACUAACACGAGGCACGUGUGCCUUUUUGCAUGUACUUUAUGAAUAAGGAUCGGCUAACUCCGUGCCAGCAGCCGCGGUAAUACGGAGGAUCCGAGCGUUAUCCGGAUUUAUUGGGUUUAAAGGGAGCGUAGAUGGGUUGUUAAGUCAGUUGUGAAAGUUUGCGGCUCAACCGUAAAAUUGCAAUUGAUACUGGCAGUCGUGAGUACAGUUGAGGUAGGCGGAAUUCGUGGUGUAGCGGUGAAAUGCUUAGAUAUCACGAAGAACCCCGAUUGCGAAGGCAGCUUACUAAACUGUGACUGACAUUGAUGCUCGAAAGUGUGGGUAUCAAACAGGAUUAGAUACCCCAGUAGUC
RNAcentral lists this ribosomal RNA (460 nucleotides) under uncultured bacterium. RNAcentral's name for it is "partial 16S ribosomal RNA". It matches the Rfam family "Bacterial small subunit ribosomal RNA", at positions 338 to 795 of the family's 1533-position model. The record is from RNAcentral.